AGUUGGAUUGGAAGUUCAAGGGAUGCAUCUGUUCCAUUGCCAUGUAAAGGGGAUGUUGCACCACCUUCCCCAAGCGAUCCUGGAGUGAAGAAAGUUGCAGACAAAUUAGCAAGUUUGGUAGC
Molecule: long non-coding RNA, 122 nt
Organism: Telopea speciosissima
Lineage: Eukaryota; Viridiplantae; Streptophyta; Magnoliopsida; Proteales; Proteaceae
Exons: 2
Source: RefSeq, a predicted model, not a curated record